GGAGAGGUGGCAGAGUGGUCGAAUGCAGCGCCCUGCUAAGGCGUUGAUCCUUAAUUGGAUCCGGGGGUUCGAAUCCCCCUCUCUCCG
RNAcentral lists this transfer RNA (87 nucleotides) under Parcubacteria group bacterium QH_9_35_7. RNAcentral describes it as "tRNA-Ser". It matches the Rfam family "tRNA". Rfam says of the family: Transfer RNA (tRNA) molecules are approximately 80 nucleotides in length. Their secondary structure includes four short double-helical elements and three loops (D, anti-codon, and T loops). The record is from RNAcentral.